CUGAGCUGUGCCUCUGGAGUCAAGUCCGACCUCCUACCUCGGAAUGAGUUUGUGAGAGAGACUUCAGGCACAGCAGGCAGAGUCAAUGGGGUGCCAAACUCCUCCUGGCGAUGCUGUGAGAUGCCCGAGGGGACGCCUUGAGUUCUCUGGCUCCCAGGGAGUUGGCUCCGGGCCCCAGAGACACCUGCAAAUGCCCCUUCCUGUCCCAGGCUCAGAAUGAAUUGAGGGAACAAUGAAAAACAAACAAAACAACUAUUUACUUGCUGAAGAGCGAAUAUGUUCACAUGUCCAAAUAAUCAAAAUACUCAAAGGAUAUGCAGUGAGAAAGAAGUCCCCCACCCACCCCGUUCCCCCGCCGUUUCUUGAGUAUUUGAGUAUAUUUUUCCAGAGAUGCCCUAGGCGGGUACGCGGGGAGAUGCACUUGUAUUCUCUUCUCCGCCUUAAACACACCCCGUGAAUGGCGGAGUUUUUUCUUGGAGAAUGGCAGGCAUCAGUACAGAAACAGCUUCCUUGAGCUGCGGUGUAUGGGUGGGUGUUCCAUUGUUAUUUGACGAGGCUGUAAAGGGAAGGGUUGUUUUUUUUCAAAGCAAAGGAAUAGCUUCAUGGAAGCAUCCUUCCUGGAAUCUGGAAUUCGGAGACGAGCUUGAGUCUGAGCUGGGCUACUUACCACUCGGGGACUGCACGUGUUGCUUCCCCCGAGCCUCAGUGUUCUCAUCUGCAAGAUGCUGCUUGUGGCUGGGCACGGUGGCCUACACCUGUAAUUUCAGCACUUUGAGCUGCCGAUGCACGAGGAUCGCUUGAGGCCAGGAGUUCAAGACCAGCCUGGGGCCAGGCGCAGUGGCUCACGCCUGUAAUCCUAGCACUUUAGGAGGCCGAGGCAGGAGGAUCACCUGAGGUCAGGAGUUCGGGACCAGCCUUGGCCAACAUGGUAAAACCUCGUCUCUACUAAAAACACAAAAAUUAGCUGGCAUGGUGGCACGUGCCUGUAAUCCCAGCUACUCAGAAGGCUGAGGCAGGGGAAUUGCUUGAACCCAGAGGUGGCAGUGAGCCAAGAUCACACCAUUGUGCUUCAGCCUGGGUGACAGAACGUGACUCCAUCUCAAAAAAAAAAAAAAAAAAAAAAAAAAAAAACCAGCCUGGGAGACAUAGUGAGGCCCCAUCUCUACCCCUGACCAUCCCCCCCAAAACCCAAAAAAACAAACUUAGCUGGCCAUGGUGCUGUGUGCCUGUAGUCCCAGCUA
Molecule: long non-coding RNA, 1241 nt
Organism: Symphalangus syndactylus (siamang)
Lineage: Eukaryota; Metazoa; Chordata; Mammalia; Primates; Hylobatidae
Source: RefSeq, a predicted model, not a curated record